Molecule: ribosomal RNA, 292 nt
Filed under: uncultured bacterium
Lineage: Bacteria
Description: partial 16S ribosomal RNA
Rfam family: Bacterial small subunit ribosomal RNA
Source: RNAcentral
GUGCCAGCAGCCGCGGUAAUACGGAGGGUUCAAGCGUUGCUCGGAAUUAUUGGGCGUAAAGGGUAGGUAGGUGGUCUUAUUUGUCUGGUGUGAAAGCCUUGGGCUUAACUCAAGAAGUGCCCCAGAAACGGUAAGACUAGAGUCCUGGAGAGGGUCGUGGAAUUCCCGGUGUAGCGGUGAAAUGCGUAGAGAUCGGGAGGAACACCAGAGGCGAAGGCGGCGACCUGGACAGGCACUGACACUCAACUACGAAAGCGUGGGGAGCAAACAGGAUUAGAUACCCCCGUAGUCC